CGGGGCGUGGCGCAGCCUGGUAGCGCACUAGCAUGGGGGGCUAGUGGUCGCCCGUUCAAAUCGGGUCGCCCCGACCA
This 77-nucleotide transfer RNA is filed under the name Deltaproteobacteria bacterium. Its description in RNAcentral is "tRNA-Pro". The record is from RNAcentral. Lineage: Bacteria; Pseudomonadati; Myxococcota; Myxococcia.